Molecule: long non-coding RNA, 5171 nt
Organism: Triplophysa rosa
Lineage: Eukaryota; Metazoa; Chordata; Actinopteri; Cypriniformes; Nemacheilidae
Exons: 4
Source: RefSeq, a predicted model, not a curated record
AAGGUGGUUGCGUGACACGUACAGCCUUUAGUAACGGGCAUGAGGAAACCUGUUGGGUGUCUGCCUUUUGUAUCUCUCACUUGCUCUCAUUUUGGAUGUGCACAUCUCAGUACAGCUCUGUAUGAAUGCAGGAGUUUCUUCAAGCUGCCUCUGACCUGCAGGGUUUUGCAUAAUUUACAAGUUAAGAAUUGAAUUUCUUUUAAUUCAUAAGUUUGAGUUAGAAUUGGUCCACCAUGGUUAAACAAGUCUUCAUUUUAUUUUCCUUCAAUUUAAAUUCAAAUUGCAGUUCUGCAUCUUGUUUACUUUCUCAGUCAAAUUCAAGAAGUCAAUAGGAUUUUUUCGAGCAUCAGUCCAAGAAAAGAUUCAGCAUGUGUUAAUGGCUUAAACAUGGCCAAAUAUUUUGUGCUAAAUGCAGUUUGCAUGGCACAACUCAUUGUCUUGUAGGUUGGCGUUUAGGAGUGGAGCAUUUUUUGAAAACAUAAUUUACAGCGCAACAACCAAUAAAAUUGUACUAUAGGUAUUAAAUAAUAUGUAGAAUGAUUUAACAACAAAAAUACACUAUCAUAUUCCCGUAGCAGAAUAUAAUAAACAGGUAGAAUGAUUUAUAUCAGAUUUGAUAAUCUGAUGGGUAGGAUGACAUUUCAGGAGAUCUGCAACAUUUUUCUACUGCAUAAAAGCUUUAUGGUUUAUCUACGAGCUUUACCUGAUGAAAGAAGUCACUGCAACACUGGUUUGUGCGCGCGGCGCGCGUGUGUUUGUUUGGCACUUGGCGGGUCCGGAACGAAUUCCCUCUCGGUCCGUAUCCACAGAUUGAUCGUCUGCGCAACGUUGCAUGAAGUCAAACACACCCGAUAUUAUAGGUUAUCGCGAUUAUUUUAAAUUUGAUUAUCCAUAAAAAAAAUUAAACACAUCGCCCAGCCCUGAUCUGUCUAUUCCUGUGGCUUGGCAGUGGGUAACCCUGCCCAUAGUGGAAUCUCAUUGGUUUGAAUUUGCAUUAAACAUCCACAAGUGCUUAGGUGAAAUAUUCCAAGAAAAUCCAAGAAAAUUUGUCCAAAAAAUGAACGCAUUAAAAGGAAUUCAAAAUGCAAAAAAUGCACCUUUAAAGAAUAAUCAUUGCAGCAGAGAAAAUGUUACGUUUACAAUGUUCUGUGCAGUAAAUGCAUGCGAUCUCAUUCAGUAUGUAAGUUGCCGGAGGGGGAAUCGGUCUGCAUCUGCUAUCUCUUGCUGUGAAGAUCAGGGUUGUCUUCUAUACAUGCUGUCUGUCGCUGUGAUGGGGACAGAUUGUUGGCAUUUUCUCUGCACCGUAAGUAUAUCAUCUGUGUAAAAGCUGCACUUGUUUACUUCCAUCACACCAUCAACUCUACCUCUCUCCAGACCAGUCAGAUUUGAGUGUGUCGUGUCAAAUGUAUCACGGAAAGGUUCUGAAGAGAUGGAGACAGAAAAUGACAUGUUCCCAACACAGAUCUCUAAUGUUUUUCUGUAAUGGAAUUGUUGGGUCAAUAGAUGAUUUGAAAUAAUGCGUACGAGUCAUAGACCACUUUUACGGUUCAUAUAGUCAACACCCCCUCAAAUCUGAUUGGAUGAUAGGCGUUCCAAGUGUACACAUUGGGCACUUUACUAUGUUGUAUCAGUCCACCAGAGUCAAUCAUUUACACCUGUCUUUUAUCUUUGUUACUCCAGUGGCUUCUAGGUUUUAAAUCCAAAGUGUAAGAAAGCACCUUCACACACAAGGGUUUUGGAGCACUUGGUAGAGCUUCGUUCCUUGGAAACAUUGAGCACACAGAAGGUCUCCUGUGUUCCAAAAGUCAUGCAGGUUUGGAACAAAAUGAGAAUGAUAUUGAAGUAAAUGAUAUUAAAAUGUCAAUUUUUAGGUGACCUGACCAGAACACGAAAGCAGAAGGCAUCCAUGUGAAUGUUUGAUACUAGAUCAAAAUGGGAUUAUAGAGAUUACAGCUGCUUCAGAUUAGAGCACUCUGGGUUAUUUUACUCCCCCUCCUCUUGCAACUAGACUUCACGUACACUGUAAAAAAAGUCUGUGAAAACUACAGUAAAAAACUCUAAAACAGCAACAGUAAAAUAUUUUUUAAAGCUAAAUAGUAUAUCACCGUAUUGCAUACAUUAAAUUACCAUAAUUUAAGAAACAGUACAUACAUUUUAUUUUUACUCUCUUAAUAUGUAAAAAACACAGAUUCUUACAGUAAAAUUUUUAAUUUUUGGUGAAAUUAAUGGGAAAAUACUGGGCCUUUACAAACAAGGAAUUACCUUAAAAACAAUGGUAUUAUUCUGUGCAAAUUACACAUUUUCUUAAUGUGUACUGUAGAAUAUACAAUAUAAAACUGUUUAAAAUCCAACAAACACAUACCUUAAAUCCUACAGUAACAAGAUGUUAAACAUAUGUUUAUCUUUUUGUCAAUUUUAGUUAAAACUUUAAAUACUCUGUAAUUUACUGUACUUUUGUGUAUUGUUCUUUUAUUUAUCUAAUCUGAUAGUUAAUGCUAAUUGCAAUGAAAACAAAACGAAUGUCUUGAAGAAAGUCAAGAAAUAAUUUUAUCAUAGCUAUUCUAAAAAGAUAUUUUCCACCUUAUUUCAUAAUUACCACAACUAGACUAUGAAUAGGAUGAACAAAGCAAAAAUGUUCAAACAAGAAAAAAACUUGACCAUUUUAAAACAAUUAUGAAACUGUGUUUUUAUUAGUGGUGCUUGCGAAAUGGCAUUUGAAAUAAUAAUAAAAAGCGUGAACAAACGAAGAAACACACAAGAGGAAGAAGAUCGUCUCCCCGCUUCUAAGAUUAGGCCUGUGAAUUGCGCAGCGCGACCUGCAUGCGGCAAGUGGUGAGUACUCCUUUGGCUACUUUUUCACGGGGUAAUUUGCAAAUUGCAAAGCUAAAGUAACAGAUUAUCGUGCACUGCUAACGCAAAGUGUAAUUCUGAUGCCUUGUCAACUUGCAUUUAAGCUUGCGUUUUCAAAUCACUUAAAUUAAGGUUACGUGGUAACUCGCUAAUGAAAAAUGUGCUUAAAAACUCAUACACUGCUAAUGCGAAGUGUACUUUUGACGUCUUUUAAUCUUCUUUUAAUCCAUUUCUUGGCUUACUUUUAAAAAUGCUUAAGAGAGCACGACAAUUCAUUAAUAACGUUAACGGUCGAUGUCGUUUUAUAUUUCAAUCAGCGCCAUUUUAGCGCGCCAAGCAGCUGCUUUUGGAAUACCAUCCUCGUCCAUCCUUUUGAUUUCUGGGAGUUCAACAUUUCUUUUCGAGGUAAGCCAAACAAUACUGUUACAAACUAAAAAGUUAAAGUUAUUUAUUUUCCUUUCGUUGUUGUUAUUUAACCAGUUUUGGCUAUGUUUAGUUGCAAUUUCUGUGGCAAGUCGGUCAAAUCAUUGAGGGGGUAUGUACUUCAUUUUAAACUUCAUCGACUUCAUGUGACAUCAAAGAGUGGUGAGAUUUUUAAUUACUUUUAAAGACAUAUUUUUGCCAUAUAUGCUUUGUUGAACUUUUUGUUGAAUUUGGUCUUAUUCAGGAACAAAUGUAUUUUCUUUUAUCUCCUUUUCUUAUGUUACAAGAGGCUGUAUGCGACAGGGACCUCAUCAAUCUCUUUUUCUUCUGGAAAAUUCACGGGAUUGGCAAGUUUCUGAGCUUUAAGGAUCAUGUCAACACCUGAUCAUUGUAACCUGUCUGCAAGAGACUCUGUCCCACCUCUCUUCAGUCAAGUCUGGACCCAGUAAUUCAGACACCUCAAGGAUAAUUAAUGAAAGAUGAAGAAAAUGGCAGUCCAUGAAGUACUACAUUUCCAGUUUCUCGAACUGAUUUAGUGCCAUGUCUUCAGUCAGGUGUGGACUUAUUAUUAUUGUUCAAACAGAGCAAGUGGCCCUGGUUUACUUUUAUAUAUGGACACAUUUUAUUUCCAAGCUCAACAUUGUGAGUACACUGCAAGUUAUUGAAUCAGCUCAAACUGUUUUAACACAGUGUCAGUAUGCAAAAACGGGUUUUUUUUUGCAUACUGUUAAUGAUCUGUUAAUGAUAAUUUGUGUGUUGAUUGACUGCAUUUAUUACCUCAUUUAGUAAUUUACAAUAACCUGACUGACUGUUGUAAAAUCUAUGGCAACCACUUGUAAUGCCUUUUGUGUUAUACCGUAUUUUUUGCGAUGAAAUUCUGGCAACCACAGCUGCCAGUAAUUUUCUGUAAAAUUGAAGUUUACAAUAAAAUACUAUAAUAUUUCAUACGGUUGAAUUGUGUUUAUUACGGAGAUAGACUAUAAUUACUAUUAAAGAAAUUUACACUUGCAACUGCUAUUUUUAAAGUAAAUCACUGUAAACAGGUUUACAUUACAUCUGUUUUAUUUAACAGUAGUGUACCGUAAACAAGCAGCAAUUCGCUACUGUAAAAUUUACGGUUGCAAAAAAGCAUUCUGUAAAGUGUUCCACAUUGUAACCUUAUAUUUUACGGUGAACUUCUGGCAACCACAGCUGCCGGUAUUUUACCGUAUAUUACACAUGUUUUUUUUUACAGUGUACUGUAUAAACUAAACUGUACUGUAAAACCUCCUAUUUCUACUUGUACAUAGAAAACUAGAAUUUACAGCUUUAUUGUGUACAGAGAUUAAAUUAAGGCUCCCAAAAUUCAGGGCACGGGACAAAAAUAGAGUUUUGAUUUUGCUUCACUCAGGAAAGUUAUACAAUUUCUCAUUCGAUUAAUCCCGGAUUUAAUUCAAUCCAGAGUUUCCCAAAAUAGCCCUGGUCUUCGACCUGCUGUUUCAGAUUUUAAUCACAGCAACACCUGGCAUGGCACGGGCUCCCGGUGCCAUCAUCUCCAUCCUGGCGACUGCUCUGCCAACCCACGCAUCUUCAACUGUGCCCAGCAUCAUUAUCAGCGUGUCAGACGCUCGGGCAGAAUGCGCAUCCCAACAGCUGGCUGAGUGCAGGCAUGCAUUACUUUACCAUUUGUGCAACAGACCCAUGUUAAAUACUAUAUAGAAGCAUUUACUAUUGCUCACUGUACAGCUGUGUAUGGUUUCAUCAGAACGUCGUAAAUAAACAUUUGAGUUUGAAUCGCAUAAUGUCGUUAAUUGUUCAAAACCUAAAGACUUUGUGUCUGAUGACAUUGUGCUUGUUUGUGUGCAUAUUUUUGGAUGACAUGAAAACUGUAAUGUUUUAGGGGCAUGUCAUUGGUGCCU